Molecule: unclassified non-coding RNA, 323 nt
Filed under: Hevea brasiliensis (rubber tree)
Lineage: Eukaryota; Viridiplantae; Streptophyta; Magnoliopsida; Malpighiales; Euphorbiaceae
Source: RNAcentral
GCAAAAAUGACAAGGACAUUAAACUGUAAAUGGCACAGCCACCCAAAAGAAAUGAACCAUGGUUAUCUAAAAAAUAAAGAAAAAGAAAAUGAACCAUGAAAAUAAUAUGCAUAUAAAAACAAGCCACAAAUGGCAUUAGCAUCGCAAUUUUGGGUCUGGAAACAGUCAUUCUCUCUGUGGCUCACUUUCAAAAGCAAGACAAAUUGUACAUGUCAAUGCUGGAUCAAAACAACAAAACAGAGCAAUGCUUCAUUGCUUUAAAGUCUGGCCAACAAAUAUCAAAUGCUCAAAAGUAUCCAAAUAAGGAGACAAGAGAAAACACA